AGCGAAGUACAGCAGGCCAGGCAGAUCAGAGGAGCAGGAAAGUUAACAUUUCAGUCGGGAUCCUUUGUCAGAAAUGACUGAUCUGUGGUCUAACUCCAUGAGGUGAACGAUGGCUGGUAGAUAUCAUAAAAGAUGAAGUCGCCAUCGUCCCAGAGGACCGUAGGGCUACUCUGUCAUUGGAGACAGACAACUGGUGAUGUUGCAAGUUGUGAAUUUGAAUUGGAUAUGUCAGAAACUAUUCAUAAAUGAAUCAGCCACCCUGCGCCUCUUACAAAACAGUGGAAGAAUUGAGAAAAAGGAAGAAGAAAUCUUUGGAUCAGCAAGGACAAUCCCAACAGAUCUUGUGAAAAAAGACUACAGAACUGUUUUCCCAGUUUUCCAUCCAGCUGUGUUUUUUUUUCCCUUGUGUAUGUUUGUCUGUCUGUGAGUGUGUAAGUGGGAGUUUAUAAAGUGUUUAGUAUUUUAAUUUGCAGAGUUUAUUUAAUUUAACU
Rhincodon typus (whale shark) is the source of this 491-nucleotide long non-coding RNA. RefSeq lists it as uncharacterized. The record is from RefSeq and is a predicted model, not a curated record. The transcript is spliced from 3 exons. Lineage: Eukaryota; Metazoa; Chordata; Chondrichthyes; Orectolobiformes; Rhincodontidae.